This 1347-nucleotide long non-coding RNA is filed under the name Calidris pygmaea (Spoon-billed sandpiper). RNAcentral's name for it is "lncRNA (ENSCPGG00000008005.1)". The record is from RNAcentral. Lineage: Eukaryota; Metazoa; Chordata; Aves; Charadriiformes; Scolopacidae.
AUGGAAACCGAAACGGUCCUCACAAUUAUCACUGUGCUGCAAAGCUCCAGGCAGGGACAUGGCAGCCCCGGGGAUGGCUCUGUCGUGGCCCACGGUGCUCUCUGCUGCCCAGGGAUGCAGGGCUUGGGCGGCUGCUCUUUGUGUGGGACUGGACAGGGCGGGCCCUCACCUCACGGGACCGGACGGGCAGGGCCUCCUGCCUCGCCCCACCUCACCUCAGGGAGCUGGACGGGGCAGGCGCCCCCCUCGCCUCACCGGAUGGGGCAGGACACCCCCUCACCUCAGGGAGGCGGGACGGGCAGGCGCCCACCCCUCACCUCACCUCAGGACGCCGGCCCACACGGAGGAAGUCGUCCCCCCGCCGGGGCCCCUCCCCGGCCGCGCCCGGCACGGCGCCCUCAGACAGGGCCUCGCCCCGCUGGCCGCCAAGCGGCCCCGGGCCGGGAGGGGGUGCGGGAGUGGCCCCGAGCCGCCCUUACCUGCCGCCGGCCGGCGGAGACGCCGCCGCCGCCCCCGCGCAUCCUCCCGCCGGGCGCGCUCCCGCGGAGCCCGCUCGCUCCCGGCGCGGCGCGCGGCGACGCCCUGCCCGGCCCGGCCCGCGCAAGCGCGGCGGCUCCAUCCCUUCGCCGGGCAGCGGCUUCCCAAAAUGGCGGCGCCCAGGGCGACUUCCCCCGCCGCGUGGAGGGCGGCCUAUCAUUCCGCCGGACAGGGCCGCGGGGGCGGGCCUUCAGCCGACGGACAGCUCCAGCAGCCAGUAGAAGAUCGGCGCGGCGGGUCGUCAUCGCACCGAUGCGCUCCCAGGAGGGAUGCUGCGGUCCCCCUCGCGGCGUCCCCCUCGUACCGGGGUCCCAGCGCUGGGCCCGGGGACCCGCCGACACCCCCCGGCUCUGCCCUGCCCGGGACAGCGUGAGUCCCCCGUGGGCUCCCGCUCAGCCCCGUGUCCACCAGCGCCUUUCCAGGAGCGCUCCUGCGGACGGUCUCGCCGAGGGGCGCCGCGGGCCGGUGCCUGCCCGGCCCAGAGCAGCCCCUCUGCAGCCGCCGUGCUCCAUCGAGCUCAUCGGUGCUGGUCGAGAUCUAAAGGGCGGGUGUCAGGGGGAUGGGGCCAGACUCUUUUCACCUGCGCCCGGUGACAGGACAAGGGGCAACGGACACAAGCUGGAAAACGGGAAAUUCCGUCUCAAUGGGAGGAGGAGCUUCUUGACUGUCAUGGUGCCGGCGCCCGGGAAGAGGCUGCCCGGGGAGGUGGUUGAGUCUCCUUCUCUGGGGACAUUCAGAACCCGCUGGGGACGCGAUCCUGUCCAGCCUGCUCUGGGUAACCCUGCUCUAGCAGGGGCUUGGACUAGGUGA